This 253-nucleotide ribosomal RNA is filed under the name uncultured bacterium. Its description in RNAcentral is "partial 16S ribosomal RNA". It matches the Rfam family "Bacterial small subunit ribosomal RNA", at positions 524 to 776 of the family's 1533-position model. The record is from RNAcentral.
UACGUAGGGUGCAAGCGUUAAUCGGAAUUACUGGGCGUAAAGCGUGCGCAGGCGGUUAUGUAAGUCAGAUGUGAAAUCCCCGGGCUUAACCUGGGAAUGGCAUUUGAGACUGUAUAGCUAGAGUGAGUCAGAGGGGGGUAGAAUUCCACGUGUAGCAGUGAAAUGCGUAGAGAUGUGGAGGAAUACCGAUGGCGAAGGCAGCCCCCUGGGAUAACACUGACGCUCAUGCACGAAAGCGUGGGGAGCAAACAGG